GCCUUCGUAGUGUAGUGGUCAGCACGCUGGGCGCGUAUUCCAGAGGUCCGUGGUUCGAGUCCCAGUGAAAGCA
Stegodyphus mimosarum is the source of this 73-nucleotide non-coding RNA. Lineage: Eukaryota; Metazoa; Arthropoda; Arachnida; Araneae; Eresidae. The record is from Rfam.